AAACUUUCAACAACGGAUCUCUUGGCUCUGGCACCGAUGAAGAACGCAGCGAAAUGCGAUAACUAGUGGGAAUUGCAGGUUUCAGUGAAUCAUCGAGUCUUUGAACGCACAUUGCGCCCGCUGGUACUCCGGCGGGCACGCCUGUCCGAGCGUCAUUU
This 158-nucleotide ribosomal RNA is filed under the name Parmularia styracis. RNAcentral's name for it is "5.8S ribosomal RNA". It matches the Rfam family "5.8S ribosomal RNA". From Rfam's summary of the family: 5.8S ribosomal RNA (5.8S rRNA) is a component of the large subunit of the eukaryotic ribosome. The record is from RNAcentral. Lineage: Eukaryota; Fungi; Ascomycota; Dothideomycetes; Asterinales; Parmulariaceae.